Molecule: ribosomal RNA, 501 nt
Filed under: uncultured bacterium
Lineage: Bacteria
Description: partial 16S ribosomal RNA
Rfam family: Bacterial small subunit ribosomal RNA
Source: RNAcentral
AUUGAACGCUGGCGGCAUGCCUUACACAUGCAAGUCGAACGGCAGCACGGGUGCUUGCACCUGGUGGCGAGUGGCGAACGGGUGAGUAAUACAUCGGAACGUACCUUAUCGUGGGGGAUAACGCAGCGAAAGUUGCGCUAAUACCGCAUACGCCCUGAGGGGGAAAGCGGGGGACCGUAAGGCCUCGCGCGAUUAGAGCGGCCAAUGUCUGAUUAGCUUGUUGGUGAGGUAAAAGCUCACCAAGGCGAUGAUCAGUAGCUGGUCUGAGAGGACGAUCAGCCACACUGGGACUGGGACACGGCCCAGACUCCUACGGGAGGCAGCAGUGGGGAAUUUUGGACAAUGGGGGCAACCCUGAUCCAGCAAUGCCGCGUGAGUGAAGAAGGCCUUCGGGUUGUAAAGCUCUUUUGUCAGGGAAGAAACAGCAGCUCUAACACAGUCUGCGAAUGACGGUACCUGAAGAAUAAGCACCGGUUAACUACGUGCCAGCCGCCGCCGUAA